UCCUCUGUGGCUCAGUUGGUAGAGCAUGGUGUUUGCAACACCAGGGUUGUGGGUUCGAUUCCCACGAGGGA
RNAcentral lists this transfer RNA (71 nucleotides) under Salmo salar (Atlantic salmon). It matches the Rfam family "tRNA". From Rfam's summary of the family: Transfer RNA (tRNA) molecules are approximately 80 nucleotides in length. Their secondary structure includes four short double-helical elements and three loops (D, anti-codon, and T loops). Lineage: Eukaryota; Metazoa; Chordata; Actinopteri; Salmoniformes; Salmonidae. The record is from Rfam by way of RNAcentral.